UACAUCUUAGCUAAACUCAAGACCACUGGA
RNAcentral lists this non-coding RNA (30 nucleotides) under Rattus norvegicus (Norway rat). The record is from RNAcentral. Lineage: Eukaryota; Metazoa; Chordata; Mammalia; Rodentia; Muridae.